AGCAGCCGCGGUAAUUCCAGCUCCAAUAGCGUAUAUUAAAGUUGUUGCAGUUAAAAAGCUCGUAGUUGAAUUUCGGGGUUAGUAGGUUGGUCAUGCCUCUGGUAUGUACUGGUCUCACUGAUUCCUCCUUCCUGAUGAGCCGUAAUGCCAUUAAUUUGGUGUUGCGGGGAAUUUGGACUGUUACUUUGAAAAAUUGAGUGUUUAAAGCAAGCUAACGCUUGAAUACAUUAGCAUGGAAUAAUGAAAUAGGACGUUCGAUCCUAUUUUGUCGGUUUCUAGGAUUGACGUAAUGAUUAAUAGGGAUAGUUGGGGGCAUUAGUAUUCUAAUUGUCAGAGGUGAAAUUCUUGGAUUUAUUGAAGGCUAACUAC
Molecule: ribosomal RNA, 369 nt
Filed under: uncultured Glomeromycotina
Lineage: Eukaryota; Fungi; Glomeromycota
Description: SSU rRNA
Rfam family: Eukaryotic small subunit ribosomal RNA
Source: RNAcentral